Molecule: ribosomal RNA, 253 nt
Filed under: uncultured bacterium
Lineage: Bacteria
Description: partial 16S ribosomal RNA
Rfam family: Bacterial small subunit ribosomal RNA
Source: RNAcentral
UACGGAAGGUGCGAGCGUUAAUCGGAAUUACUGGGCGUAAAGCGCACGUAGGUGGAUUUAUAAGUCGGAUGUGAAAUCCCCGGGCUCAACCUGGGAACUGCAUUGGUGACUGCAAGGCUUGAGUGUGUCAGAGGGAGGUGGAAUUCCGCGUGUAGCAGUGAAAUGCGUAGAUAUGCGGAGGAACACCGAUGGCGAAGGCAGCCUCCUGGGAUAACACUGACGCUCAUGCACGAAAGCGUGGGGAGCAAACAGG